CUUAUUUUUAUGUAAGAGUGACGGGCAAUUUGUGCAUUCUUUAGUGUUAGUUAAGUUUUAAAUGAUUUUAAAGUAUCUUACUUCUAAGUUCUAGUUUAAAAAUAGUUACAUAAAUUAAUAGAAUAAAAUAAUAAAGUGAUCCACUAAAAUCUAUAUUAUAAUCUUUGUAUUGAUUUGUCUUUGAAUUUAUAUUAAAUUUGAAAGAGCGUACUUAUAAAUGAAUUUUAGAUUCUAUUGCAAUAAUAUAAAAAAUAAUAAAUACAGAGAAAUCUAACGCGGAUUAUCUAUUACAAAGCAGAACCCCCUAGUUAAAUAAAGAACCGCCAUUUAGUUUAGGUUUCUUUUAAUUAAAUACUACCUGAAUUAAUAUUAAAG
Molecule: ribosomal RNA, 375 nt
Filed under: Surapoda tianlinensis
Lineage: Eukaryota; Metazoa; Arthropoda; Arachnida; Trombidiformes; Eriophyidae
Description: partial small subunit ribosomal RNA
Source: RNAcentral